CUAUAUUACACACACACACACACACACAUUCUUAUCAUUUUAAUGAUUGUUAAUUUCUAAUUUACAGCAGAAAUGGGAGGAUUCCUACUUAGUUUUUUUUUUUCUUUUAAGACCAAAAAAAAAAAAUAAUAAUUGCUAACAAAUUUUCUAAAACCUUAGAAAAAAAACAUGACACCAUUGCUGGUGAUAUCAUGUCGGCACGGAUGACAAUAUUACCGCCUGUUUGGCAUCAGAAAGACACAAAAAGGACAUUUAACCAACAGCACCACCACCCACAACAACAACUACACUACCUCACAGAUGAAGAUCCAAGCAAAGUGUGUGGCCCUUUUGACAAGCCAACCCCAGGUCUGUGGUACAAACUUACUGUUUCGAAGUGUUUUAAAUUAACACCUACCUUUAAAAAAUUCCAUGGUGAUUUAUGUUGCAAACACCAGCUGAAUAAUGACAAUUAUUUCACUAAAUUCUUCACCCCUUUCGAAAUUACUUGAAACAAUGGUAGUGUACACCAAGAGAAACAUGGUAACGAAAGGGUUAAAGACCCUCAUUUCUCAAAGGCACAUUGGAAGACAACGGAAAGAAGUAAAACAAAGGAAAAACUAAAAAAGAUUUAAACAUGACGAAGGAACAAUACAGCUAAUGACCUGGAAACGAGGGCCGAGAGAGAUACAUAAUGUUGGUGUUUGAAGUACUGUGAAGCCAAUGUCUGAAGGAAUGGAAUUUCAGAGAAGAGGUAACGUUCUAGGAAGGAAGUGUUGGAUGUAGUGGUUUGUCAGAGGGAGCUGGAGUGUAUAGCUAUUGGGAGCAGAAGAGAUGGACAUAACGAGAAGGCGUGACAAAGAAAGCCAGGUCGCGCACCUGAAACGAACCACGUUCAAACCAGACCACGCAUGAAUGCGUUCAACCGUGUGUGAGAAGAGAGAAAUGCAACCAUGAACAGAAAACAAACAGGUGAAAAUAGUUGUAAGAAAAUAAGAGAGAGACACACCUGACCCAGAGAGAGAUCGAAAUAGUCAAUGAUCUACGUUCAAUAACAGAUGGAUCAUCAAAGAUCCCGAUCCCUUCUCCACCCCCAGACGCACAUUUCGUAACAUGUCUGUGUAAUGUAUCCUACUCGUCUGCUGCCGCCCCCUUCU
Octopus sinensis (East Asian common octopus) is the source of this 1136-nucleotide long non-coding RNA. RefSeq lists it as uncharacterized. The record is from RefSeq and is a predicted model, not a curated record. The transcript has 3 exons. Lineage: Eukaryota; Metazoa; Mollusca; Cephalopoda; Octopoda; Octopodidae.